Long non-coding RNA from Raphanus sativus (radish), 821 nucleotides. RefSeq lists it as uncharacterized. The transcript is spliced from 2 exons. The record is from RefSeq and is a predicted model, not a curated record. Lineage: Eukaryota; Viridiplantae; Streptophyta; Magnoliopsida; Brassicales; Brassicaceae.
CUGUUCUCCAGUUUAUGAGAGUGGGAAAGACGUGUCAGCCUUCAAUGUGAGAUAAGUACCUCUCCAAAGGUCAACGGUUGCCAUUUUAUUCAUUUUGACCUUGAAAAGUCUUUAAAUGGAAACGAUGGGGAAAAAGCUGAAACAAAAACUGAGAUAUGGAUCUUCUAGGAACAUGGAAGACAAGAGGUUCUUGGAAAAUGGAAGCAUCUUUCUAAAAUAACUUAUCGCCCAUUGCAACGGUAAAUCAGUUCCUAAAUGCAGUUUUUCUUCUUAUCAGAUCCUUGAAGCCACCAAUAACUUCAAUUCCAGUUGUCUUAUCACUUAUGAGAGGAGCCAUAAUUGGUAUAAAGGUAUCAUCCAAGACAAGUCUUACUUGAUCAAAAGAUUCUUGAAGUAUAAAAUUACAGGAGAAAGAAUGGGCGAGGUUUACAAUGACAUUGUCUUGUCUGCUAAGAUGAGUAACCACAACAACUUUCUUAGACUAUCUGGAUGCUGUCUCGAGUUUAAUCUUCCGGUUAUCCUGUUUGAAAAUGCCGAUCAUGGGGUUCUGAAUGAUCGAGGAGUUUAAACUAUAUUGCCAUGUAGUUUAAGGUUGAAGAUUGUCAAAGAGAUUGCAAAUGCUGUGACUUAUCUUCACAUGGCCUUCCCUAAGAUCAUCAUGCAUAGAGUUAUUAUGCCAAGAAACAUUGUCUUGGACAGGAACUUGACCAAUUAGGAUAAGGAUAUAUUCCAUAUUUGUAGCUAUCGUAUAUUUACAUAUUCUGUGAUCCUCUUGUAUAUAUACCGAACCUUGUGAAUGAAUACAAUCAAGCUUUCCUAAA